GAGUUUGAUCAUGGCUCAGGACGAACGCUGGCGGCAGGCCUAACACAUGCAAGUCGAGCGCCAUCUUCGGGUGGAGCGGCGGACGGGUGAGUAACGCGUGGGAACGUACCCUUUGGUACGGAAUAGCCCCGGGAAACUGGGAGUAAUACCGUAUGAGCUCUUCGGAGGAAAGAUUUAUCGCCAAAGGAUCGGCCCGCGUUGGAUUAGGUAGUUGGUGGGGUAACGGCCUACCAAGCCGACGAUCCAUAGCUGGUUUGAGAGGAUGAUCGGCCACACUGGGACUGAGACACGGCCCAGACUCCUACGGGAGGCAGCAGUGGGGAAUAUUGGACAAUGGGCGCAAGCCUGAUGCAGCAACGCCGCGUGAGGGAUGACGGCCUUCGGGUUGUAAACCUCUUUUAGUAGGGAAGAAGCGUAAGUGACGGUACCUGCAGAAAAAGCACCGGCUAACUACGUGCCAGCAGCCGCGGUUAAU
Molecule: ribosomal RNA, 475 nt
Filed under: uncultured Paracoccaceae bacterium
Lineage: Bacteria; Pseudomonadati; Pseudomonadota; Alphaproteobacteria; Rhodobacterales; Paracoccaceae
Description: bacterial SSU rRNA
Rfam family: Bacterial small subunit ribosomal RNA
Source: RNAcentral